RNAcentral lists this unclassified non-coding RNA (405 nucleotides) under soil metagenome. RNAcentral's name for it is "partial contains 5.8S ribosomal RNA, internal transcribed spacer 2, and large subunit ribosomal RNA". The stretch from base 1 to 121 matches the Rfam family "5.8S ribosomal RNA", at positions 35 to 154 of the family's 154-position model. The record is from RNAcentral.
GAUGAAGAACAUAGUGAAAUGCGAUAAGUAAUGUGAAUUGCAGAAUUCAGUGAAUCAUCGAAUCUUUGAACGCACCUUGCGCCCUUUGGCCAUUCCGAAGGGCAUGCCUGUUUGAGUAUCAUGAACACCUCAACUCUUUAUGGUUUUCCAUGAUGAGCUUGGACUUUGGGGGUUUUGCUGGCCUAUGGUCGGCUCCUCUAAAAUAAAUCAGCUUACCGGUGUUUGGUGGGUAUCAUGGGUGUGAUAACUAUCUACGCUUGUGGUUUUUCCACCAGGUAACCUUCGACAGCGGAGGUUCACUGGAGCUCAUAGAUGUCUCUCCUCAGCGAGGACAGCCCUUUGAAUGUUUGAUCUCAAAUCAGGUAGGACUACCCGCUGAACUUAAGCAUAUCAAUAAGCGGAGGA